UGCCCUAGUACGGCGAGUGAAGCGGCAACAGCUCAAAUUUGAAAUCUGGCUUUCGGGCCCGAGUUGUAAUUUGUAGAGGAUGAUUUUGAUGCGGUGCCUUCCGAGUUCCCUGGAACGGGACGCCAUAGAGGGUGAGAGCCCCGUCUGGUUGGAUGCCAAAUCUCUGUAAAUCUCCUUCGACGAGUCGAGUAGUUUGGGAAUGCUGCUCUAAAUGGGAGGUAUAUGUCUUCUAAAGCUAAAUACCGGCCAGAGACCGAUAGCGCACAAGUAGAGUGAUCGAAAGAUGAAAAGCACUUUGAAAAGAGAGUUAAAAAGUACGUGAAAUUGUUGAAAGGGAAGCGUUUAUGACCAGACUUGGGCUUGGUUAAUCAUCUGGGGUUCUCUCCAGUGCACUUUUCCAGCCCAGGCCAGCAUCAGUUUUCGCCGGGGGAUAAAGACUUCGGGAAUGUGGCUCCCCUCGGGGAGUGUUAUAGCCCGUUGUGUAAUACCCUGGUGGGGACUGAGGUUCGCGCUUCUGCAAGGAUGCUGGCGUAAUGGUCAUCAACGACCCGUCUUGAAACACGGACCAAGGAGUCGUCUUCGUAUGCGAGUGUUCGGGUGUCAAACCCCUACGCGUAAUGAAAGUGAACGCAGGUGAGAGCUUCGGCGCAUCAUCGACCGAUCCUGAUGUUCUCGGAUGGAUUUGAGUAAGAGCAUACGGGGCCGGACCCGAAAGAAGGUGAACUAUGCCUGUGUAGGGUGAAGCCAGAGGAAACUCUGGUGGAGGCUCGCAGCGGUUCUGACGUGCAAAUCGAUCGUCAAACAUGGGCAUG
Molecule: ribosomal RNA, 812 nt
Filed under: Fusarium culmorum
Lineage: Eukaryota; Fungi; Ascomycota; Sordariomycetes; Hypocreales; Nectriaceae
Description: eukaryotic LSU rRNA
Rfam family: Eukaryotic large subunit ribosomal RNA
Source: RNAcentral